Molecule: long non-coding RNA, 879 nt
Organism: Sapajus apella (tufted capuchin)
Lineage: Eukaryota; Metazoa; Chordata; Mammalia; Primates; Cebidae
Exons: 2
Source: RefSeq, a predicted model, not a curated record
UGGCUUGAGCCUGGGAAAUCGAGGCUUCAGUGAGCCGAUUGUGCCACUGCAACCCCAGCCUGGGUGACAGAGCAAGAUUGUGGUCUCCGAAAAAUAAAAAAGACACUUUCCUAAAGGUAGUUUUCCACAAGUAUAAAACUGAAAAAGGGUAGUUUUUACAGUUGCAAUUCAGUACUUUCAGAAUGGUUUUCUCCAAAGUAGCUGAUCAGCAGCUGCCAUAGCUCACAGAUGCUUACCAGUGAGGCUGCUGAGCUACUGCAGUCACCACAGCUAAUAUGGAGGCUCUUGCUGUCCACACCUAGGUAGAUAUUACGAUAAGGACUUAUAUGGAUGAACUCUGACAUUGGAACUGUUCAUUAGCAUUAUUAAGUCUCUUCUGCUUUUCCCACUCAGCCACCCUUUUAUUGGGGUCGGAUCUUACUCCCUUUUUUCGUUUGAUAGCUCCUGCUUACCAGAUACAGGUUUUUAACCUAGUUCUCUCAUUAUUCACAGCUAUAACCUUUUUAUGUUUUCUGGGUCAUUAUUUCCCACAGAACACUACCACCCCACUUGAUGUGAUUACCUGUUCUUUGGAAACAGUAUUUCUUGUUUAAAAAAGUAUAGAGAGUAUUUCAUGAGUCAGCUGUGUAAAAUGCUGCUAGAGGUUGAGUAAGCCAAGGUGCUGUAGACACGGAUUUUCAGUGGAUUAGUGAGGGGGCAGAAACACACUUACACAGAGUUGAAGAAGAUAUAGAAGGUGAGGGAAGUGGCCAGAAGUGCGACCUUGUUUUUAAAAUUUGUUUAUAAAGUGGAAUAGUGAAAUGGGUCGGUAGGGCUAAUGGGGAUCAGAGAAGGGAGGAAAAAGGGCAUGCUUGCAUACUGACAGGUGCAAUACCAUAA